UGGGGAAUAUUGCACAAUGGGGGAAACCCUGAUGCAGCAACGCCGCGUGAGUGAAGAAGUCAUUCGUGAUGUAAAGCUCUAUCAGCAGGGAAGAAAAUGACGGUACCUGACUAAGAAGCCCCGGCUAACUACGUGCCAGCAGCCGCGGUAAUACGUAGGGGGCAAGCGUUAUCCGGAUUUACUGGGUGUAAAGGGAGCGUAGACGGCGACGCAAGUCUGAAGUGAAAUGCCAGUGCUCAACACUGGAACUGCUUUGGAAACUGUGUGGCUAGAGUGCAGGAGAGGUAAGUGGAAUUCCUAGUGUAGCGGUGAAAUGCGUAGAUAUUAGGAGGAACACCAGUGGCGAAGGCGGCUUACUGGACUGUAACUGACGUUGAGGCUCGAAGGCGUGGGGAGCAAACAGG
RNAcentral lists this ribosomal RNA (404 nucleotides) under uncultured bacterium. RNAcentral describes it as "bacterial SSU rRNA". It matches the Rfam family "Bacterial small subunit ribosomal RNA", at positions 355 to 776 of the family's 1533-position model. The record is from RNAcentral.